Molecule: long non-coding RNA, 780 nt
Organism: Pangasianodon hypophthalmus (striped catfish)
Lineage: Eukaryota; Metazoa; Chordata; Actinopteri; Siluriformes; Pangasiidae
Exons: 3
Source: RefSeq, a predicted model, not a curated record
CCUACACAGACCUCACACAUGAAAGUGUUGAAGAAUAACAAGAAGAAGAAAAGACAGUAAACUCUGCCUACAAUUAGCAUUCUAGUUACUGAUCCAGUAGGAAUGGAACCAAAUGCAAAUACAUUAUUUGGAUUAAACAGAUAACGCAUUCUAAACGAGUAUAACUGUAGAUAUGAAUAGGAGAAGCAGGAUUCAUCCUGGAAGAUCAUAUGGGCAUUAUAAUGAAAUGCAGCUUAAAGGAUCCUAGUUUGACUUGCAGCUGCACUGCAUCCCAGCUUUGUAAUAGAUUCUGAUAUCGUGUCCAGAGAAUGUUUCUGAUCUUUCUGUACUGUAACAAACUCAAAGAGUGAAUUAAAUCUGAUCACAUAUUAUUAAUUGGAUAUAAACUUUCUGAAAUCAAGGAAAUAGUGUUUAUAGUGUCACUGAAAUCAGUAAAAUUAAAUAACAUGGGAAUGUGACUUGGGAACACAAUUCUUUCACCUUGCAGAGUUUCCAUCCAUUGGUUAAGGCAUGUUUGCUCCACGGAGUUUCCUUAAAAUCAGACAGUUUCCUCCAGGUUCUCUGGUUUCCUCCCACCUCCCAUUAACAUGCAGGAUCCUGCAGCUGAUCCAGUUGAGCUGGAAUGAGGCAAGUCUUCUGGGGUUGUGGAAAGCCAGAGCACUUGACUACGCCUAAGUAAAAGUGGGAGGAGCUAGAUGUGCAGGUGCUGUUGACAGCAGCAUUACACCAGACCAACCCGUCAUAUCUUCAAGUGAAGGCAGCAGCACCACACUGACCUGC